Molecule: regulatory RNA element, 182 nt
Organism: Terrisporobacter sp.
Lineage: Bacteria; Bacillati; Bacillota; Clostridia; Peptostreptococcales; Peptostreptococcaceae
Rfam family: glmS glucosamine-6-phosphate activated ribozyme aptamer
About the family: This entry contains a glucosamine-6-phosphate activated ribozyme that is found in the mRNA for GlmS. GlmS is an enzyme that uses fructose-6-phosphate and glutamine to generate glucosamine-6-phosphate.
Source: Rfam
AUUUACUUUUAAGCGCCAGAACUUAACAAUAACAGAAUUUUAUUAGUAGUAUUGGGGGUUAAGUUGACGAGGACAGAGUUAAUCGAUUUUUCGGCGGAUGCUCUGCGGUGUGUUUACCAUCGUUAAGGUUUUCUCAAAUCACGGAAGUGAUUCUGUGGACAAAGGAAAACUCAAGUAAGCUU